GACGAACGCUGGCGGCGUGCUUAACACAUGCAAGUCGAACGGUGAAGCGAGUGCUUGCACUCGUGGAUCAGUGGCGAACGGGUGGGUAACACGUGAGUAACCUGCCCAUCACUCUGGGAUAAGCACUGGAAACGGUGUCUAAUACUGGAUACGACCAACCCUUGCAUGGGGUGUUGGUGGAAAGAUUUAUCGGUGAUGGAUGGACUCGCGGCCUAUCAGCUUGUUGGCGGGGUAAUGGCCCACCAAGGCGACGACGGGUAGCCGGCCUGAGAGGGUGACCGGCCACACUGGGACUGAGACACGGCCCAGACUCCUACGGGAGGCAGCAGUGGGGAAUAUUGCACAAUGGGCGAAAGCCUGAUGCAGCGACGCCGCGUGAGGGAUGACGGCCUUCGGGUUGUAAACCUCUUUCAGCAGGGAAGAAGCGAAAGUGACGGUACCUGCAGAAGAAGCACCGGCUAACUACGUG
Molecule: ribosomal RNA, 469 nt
Filed under: uncultured bacterium
Lineage: Bacteria
Description: partial 16S ribosomal RNA
Rfam family: Bacterial small subunit ribosomal RNA
Source: RNAcentral